RNAcentral lists this ribosomal RNA (345 nucleotides) under uncultured bacterium. RNAcentral's name for it is "bacterial SSU rRNA". It matches the Rfam family "Bacterial small subunit ribosomal RNA", at positions 28 to 375 of the family's 1533-position model. The record is from RNAcentral.
GACGAACGCUGGCGGCGUGCUUAACACAUGCAAGUCGAGCGGUAAGGCCCUUUCGGGGGUACACGAGCGGCGAACGGGUGAGUAACACGUGGGUGACCUGCCCUCAGCUCUGGGAUAAGCCUGGGAAACCGGGUCUAAUACCGGAUAUGACUCCAUGACGCAUGUUGUGGGGUGGAAAGCCUUGUGCGGCUGAGGAUGGGCCCGCGGCCUAUCAGCCUGUUGGUGGGGGAUGGCCUACCAAGGCGACGACGGGUAGCCGGCCUGAGAGGGUGGUCGGUCACACUGACACUGAAUAACGGGUCAGACUCCUACGGGAGGCAGCAGUCGGGAAUUUUGGGCAAUGGG